AGAGCGAACGCUGGCGGCAGGCCUAACACAUGCAAGUCGAGCGCGUGUAGCAAUACACGAGCGGCAGACGGGAGAGUAACACGUGGGAACGCGCCCUUCGGUUCGGAAUAACUCAGGGAAACUUGAGCUAAUACCGGAUACGCCCUUACGGGGAAAGAUUUAUUGCCGAAGGAACGGCCCGCGUCCGAUUAGCUAGUUGGUGAGGUAACGGCUCACCAAGGCGACGAUCGGUAGCUGGUCUGAGAGGAUGACCAGCCUCACUGGGACUGAGACACGGCCCAGACUCCUACGGGAGGCAGCAGUGGGGAAUAUUGGACAAUGGGCGCAAGCCUGAUCCAGCCAUGCCGCGUGGAUGAUGAAGGCCUUAGGGUUGUAAAGUCCUUUUAACGGGGAAGAUAAUGACGGUACCGUAGAAUAAGCCCGGCUAACUUCGUGCCAGCAGCCGC
This 446-nucleotide ribosomal RNA is filed under the name uncultured bacterium. RNAcentral's name for it is "SSU rRNA". It matches the Rfam family "Bacterial small subunit ribosomal RNA", at positions 26 to 518 of the family's 1533-position model. The record is from RNAcentral.